GGGGAGUAUAUGCCUAUUUUCUAUUGUCAGUUAUGCUUGAUGAAUUUUGCAAGCAUUGAAACCACAUUUGAAUGAAGUUUUUAUGAAAAGAUGAUGCUACAAAGAAAACAACCGCAAUUAUAUACAUUGAUCAACAUCAUUCAUUCAUAUCCAAGCAUAAACGCACAUAAGGAGAUCAUGCGUUCACAUAUAUGAGUAAGACCAUGGAGCUUAAAUAUGAAGACUUACCUUCGCAACUUCCAG
This 243-nucleotide long non-coding RNA is filed under the name Vigna radiata. Its description in RNAcentral is "long non-coding RNA (VRAD_LNC013075)". Lineage: Eukaryota; Viridiplantae; Streptophyta; Magnoliopsida; Fabales; Fabaceae. The record is from RNAcentral.